AUCAAGAACAUGGCUGGUGUGAUGCAA
RNAcentral lists this non-coding RNA (27 nucleotides) under Homo sapiens (human). Lineage: Eukaryota; Metazoa; Chordata; Mammalia; Primates; Hominidae. The record is from RNAcentral.